ACUCCUACGGGAGGCAGCAGAGGGGAAUAUUGCACAAUGGGGGAAACCCUGAUGCAGCCAUGCCGCGUGUGUGAAGAAGGCCUUCGGGUUGUAAAGCACUUUCAGUAGGGAGGAAGGUAGUGUAGUUAACACCUGCAUUAUUUGACGUUACCUACAGAAGAAGCACCGGCUAACUCCGUGCCAGCAGCCGCGGUAAUACGGAGGGUGCGAGCGUUAAUCGGAAUUACUGGGCGUAAAGCGCAUGCAGGCGGCCUGUUAAGUCAGAUGUGAAAGCCCGGGGCUUAACCUCGGAAUUGCAUUUGAAACUGGCAGGCUAGAGUCUUGUAGAGGGGGGUAGAAUUUCAGGUGUAGCGGUGAAAUGCGUAGAGAUCUGAAGGAAUACCAGUGGCGAAGGCGGCCCCCUGGACAAAGACUGACGCUCAGAUGCGAAAGCGUGGGGAGCAAACAGGAUUAGAUACCCUGGUAGCACAGAG
This 473-nucleotide ribosomal RNA is filed under the name uncultured bacterium. RNAcentral's name for it is "bacterial SSU rRNA". It matches the Rfam family "Bacterial small subunit ribosomal RNA", at positions 335 to 799 of the family's 1533-position model. The record is from RNAcentral.